UGCCCAGCAACUCCUAUCCCUACCUCCACGCGGUACCGGCCGGAAACUAUGAGCAACCUUAGGGAAGAUCGGGUAACCAACCCCGUCGGGAACUUUGGUCAUAGGCUGACAGGGAAGG
Non-coding RNA from Aedes albopictus (Asian tiger mosquito), 118 nucleotides. NCBI's taxonomy places the organism in Eukaryota, Metazoa, Arthropoda, Insecta, Diptera, Culicidae. The record is from Rfam.